GACGAACGCUGGCGGCGUGCUUAACACAUGCAAGUCGAACGGAAAGGCCCUUCGGGGUACUCGAGUGGCGAACGGGUGAGUAACACGUGGGUGAUCUGCCCUGCACUUUGGGAUAAGCCUGGGAAACUGGGUCUAAUACCGAAUAGGACCACGCGCUUCAUGGUGUGUGGUGGCAAGCUUUUGCGGUGUGGGAUGGGCCCGCGGCCUAUCAGCUUGUUGGUGGGGGAAUGGCCUACCAAGGCGACAACGGGUAGCCGGCCUGAGAGGGUGACCGGCCACACUGGGACUGAGAUACGGCCCAGACUCCUACGGGAGGCAGCAGUGGGGAAUAUUGCACAAUGGGCGCAAGCCUGAUGCAGCGACGCCGCGUGAGGGAUGACGGCCUUCGGGUUGUAAACCUCUUUCAAUAGGGACGAAGCGCAAGUGACGGUACCUAUAGAAGAAGCACCGGCCAACUACGUG
RNAcentral lists this ribosomal RNA (462 nucleotides) under uncultured bacterium. RNAcentral describes it as "partial 16S ribosomal RNA". It matches the Rfam family "Bacterial small subunit ribosomal RNA", at positions 28 to 507 of the family's 1533-position model. The record is from RNAcentral.